AACGUAGGGGGCGAGCGUUGUCCGGAAUCAUUGGGCGUAAAGAGCACGUAGGCGGCCUGUUAAGUCGGAUGUGAAAACCCGCGGCUCAACCGCGGGACUGCAUUCGAAACUGGCAGGCUAGAGUCCGGUAGAGGAAAGUGGAAUUCCAAGUGUAGCGGUGAAAUGCGCAGAUAUUUGGAAGAACACCGGUGGCGAAGGCGGCUUUCUGGGCCGAGACUGACGCUGAGGUGCGAAAGCUAGGGGAGCGAACAGG
This 253-nucleotide ribosomal RNA is filed under the name uncultured bacterium. RNAcentral's name for it is "partial 16S ribosomal RNA". It matches the Rfam family "Bacterial small subunit ribosomal RNA", at positions 524 to 776 of the family's 1533-position model. The record is from RNAcentral.